RNAcentral lists this ribosomal RNA (1017 nucleotides) under uncultured bacterium. RNAcentral describes it as "bacterial SSU rRNA". It matches the Rfam family "Bacterial small subunit ribosomal RNA", at positions 355 to 1375 of the family's 1533-position model. The record is from RNAcentral. RNAcentral also lists the same sequence under 1 other name.
UGAGGAAUAUUGGUCAAUGGACGAGAGUCUGAACCAGCCAAGUAGCGUGAAGGAUGACUGCCCUAUGGGUUGUAAACUUCUUUUAUACGGGAAUAAAGUUAGCCACGUGUGGCUUUUUGUAUGUACCGUAUGAAUAAGGAUCGGCUAACUCCGUGCCAGCAGCCGCGGUAAUACGGAGGAUCCGAGCGUUAUCCGGAUUUAUUGGGUUUAAAGGGAGCGUAGGCGGGUUGUUAAGUCAGUUGUGAAAGUUUGCGGCUCAACCGUAAAAUUGCAGUUGAUACUGGCGACCUUGAGUGCAACAGAGGUAGGCGGAAUUCGUGGUGUAGCGGUGAAAUGCUUAGAUAUCACGAAGAACUCCGAUUGCGAAGGCAGCUUACUGGAUUGUAACUGACGCUGAUGCUCGAAAGUGUGGGUAUCAAACAGGAUUAGAUACCCUGGUAGUCCACACAGUAAACGAUGAAUACUCGCUGUUGGCGAUAUACGGUCAGCGGCCAAGCGAAAGCAUUAAGUAUUCCACCUGGGGAGUACGCCGGCAACGGUGAAACUCAAAGGAAUUGACGGGGGCCCGCACAAGCGGAGGAACAUGUGGUUUAAUUCGAUGAUACGCGAGGAACCUUACCCGGGCUUAAAUUGCAACUGACUGAACCGGAAACGGCUCUUUCUUCGGACAGUUGUGAAGGUGCUGCAUGGUUGUCGUCAGCUCGUGCCGUGAGGUGUCGGCUUAAGUGCCAUAACGAGCGCAACCCUUAUCGAUAGUUACUAGCAGGUCAUGCUGAGGACUCUAUUGAGACUGCCGUCGUAAGAUGUGAGGAAGGUGGGGAUGACGUCAAAUCAGCACGGCCCUUACGUCCGGGGCUACACACGUGUUACAAUGGGGGGUACAGAAGGCAGCUACACGGCGACGUGGUGCUAAUCCCGAAAGCCUCUCUCAGUUCGGAUUGGAGUCUGCAACCCGACUCCAUGAAGCUGGAUUCGCUAGUAAUCGCGCAUCAGCCACGGCGCGGUGAAUACGUUCCC